CAGCAGCCACGGUAAUACGUAGGUGGCAAGCGUUGUCCGGAAUUAUUGGGCGUAAAGGGCUCGCAGGCGGUUUCUUAAGUCUGAUGUGAAAGCCCCCGGCUCAACCGGGGAGGGUCAUUGGAAACUGGGAAACUCGAGUGCAGAAGAGGAGAGUGGAAUUCCACGUGUAGCGGUGAAAUGCGUAGAGAUGUGGAGGAACACCAGUGGCGAAGGCGACUCUCUGGUCUGUAACUGACGCUGAGGAGCGAAAGCGUGGGGAGCGAACAGGAUUAGAUACCCGCGUAGUCCCUGUCUCUUAUAC
RNAcentral lists this ribosomal RNA (301 nucleotides) under uncultured bacterium. Its description in RNAcentral is "partial 16S ribosomal RNA". It matches the Rfam family "Bacterial small subunit ribosomal RNA", at positions 509 to 807 of the family's 1533-position model. The record is from RNAcentral.